Molecule: long non-coding RNA, 252 nt
Filed under: Oryctolagus cuniculus (rabbit)
Lineage: Eukaryota; Metazoa; Chordata; Mammalia; Lagomorpha; Leporidae
Description: lncRNA (ENSOCUG00000030754.1)
Source: RNAcentral
AUGCUUUUAUACUCCUUAACAAGUACACAUUGGCACAUAAAUUGGAAGAUUCAAGCAAAGGACCACAGAAAAACACUUCUUCAAAAGCAUCCCCUUCUGAACCACAUUAAUUCUUUUUGGGGAAAAAUAAAGAACAAUAAAACAGUUGUUUGCAUUUCUACCAUGGCAAUACAAUACUUCCAAGAGAACAGGGGUAGAAUCUUCCAAUCCUUUAUAAAUCUUACUCCCAAAACUGGCAAAAUGACACUGUGA